RNAcentral lists this ribosomal RNA (247 nucleotides) under uncultured bacterium. RNAcentral's name for it is "partial 16S ribosomal RNA". It matches the Rfam family "Bacterial small subunit ribosomal RNA", at positions 523 to 769 of the family's 1533-position model. The record is from RNAcentral.
AUACGUAGGUGGCAAGCGUUGUCCGGAUUUACUGGGCGUAAAGGGUGCGUAGGUGGAUAUUUAAGUGAGAUGUGAAAUCCCCGAGCUUAACUUGGGGCCUGCAUUUCAAACUGGAUAUCUAGAGUGCAGGAGAGGAGAAUGGAAUUCCUAGUGUAGCGGUGAAAUGCGUAGAUAUAUGGAAGAACACCAGUGGCGAAGGCGGCUCUCUGGUCUGUAACUGACGCUGAGGCUCGAAAGCGUGGGUAGC